ACGCCUAACACAUGCAAGUCGAACGAAGUAGCAAUACUUAGUGGCAGACGGGUGAGUAACAUGUAGGUAUCUGCCCUUUGGCCUGGAAUAACACGAGGAAACUUGUGCUAAUACCGGAUAAGUCUUUACAGAGAAAGCUUUAUGCACCAUUGGAUGAGCCUGCACUUGAUUAGUUUGUUGGUGGGGUAAUGGCCUACCAAGACUGUGAUCAAUAGCUGAUUUGAGAGGAUGAUCAGCCACAUUGGGACUGAGACACGGCCCAAACUCCUACGGGAGGCAGCAGUGGGGAAUCUUGCACAAUGGAGGAAACUCUGAUGCAGCGAUGCCGCGUGAGUGAAGAAGGCCUUUGGGUUGUAAAGCUCUUUCGUCGGGGAAGAAAAUGACUGUACCCGAAUAAGAAGGUCCGG
Molecule: ribosomal RNA, 407 nt
Filed under: uncultured bacterium
Lineage: Bacteria
Description: bacterial SSU rRNA
Rfam family: Bacterial small subunit ribosomal RNA
Source: RNAcentral